UUAACUUAAAUUUAUAUGCAGUUAGAACAGCGCCCCUAGCGACAAACUUAGGCAAAAGUUCCAACUCCAUACAUAUUUGAUUUA
RNAcentral lists this microRNA precursor (84 nucleotides) under Bombyx mori (domestic silkworm). Its description in RNAcentral is "mir-2807 microRNA precursor family". It matches the Rfam family "mir-2807 microRNA precursor family". Lineage: Eukaryota; Metazoa; Arthropoda; Insecta; Lepidoptera; Bombycidae. The record is from Rfam by way of RNAcentral.